UAGGGAAUCUUCCGCAAUGGGCGAAAGCCUGACGGAGCAACGCCGCGUGUGUGAUGAAGUUCUUCGGAUCGUAAAACUCUGUUAUUAGGGAAGAACAAAUGUGUAAGUAACUAUGCACGUCUUGACGGUACCUAAUCAGAAAGCCACGGCUAACUACGUGCCAGCAGCCGCGGUAAUACGUUGGUGGCAAGCGUUAUCCGGAAUUAUUGGGCGUAAAGCGCGCGUAGGCGGUUUUUUAAGUCUGAUGUGAAAGCCCACGGCUCAACCGUGGAGGGUCAUGGGAAACUGGAAAACUUGAGUGCAGAAGAGGAAAGUGGAAUUCCAUGUGUAGAGGUGAAAUGCGCAGGGAUAUGGAGGAACACCAGUGGCGAAGGCGACUUUCUGGUCUGUAACUGACGCUGAUGAGCGAAAGCAUGGGGAUCAAACAGG
This 429-nucleotide ribosomal RNA is filed under the name Actinomycetes bacterium. RNAcentral describes it as "Actinobacteria bacterium partial 16S ribosomal RNA". It matches the Rfam family "Bacterial small subunit ribosomal RNA", at positions 355 to 776 of the family's 1533-position model. The record is from RNAcentral. Lineage: Bacteria; Bacillati; Actinomycetota; Actinomycetes.